UGCUACAGAGGGUGUCUCCACAAGGUUAAUUAGUAGUGGGUCCCCUGUGGUUACCAAAGCGAUGAGGGCUUCAGAUAGUGGAGGAUACCUCCACACAACACUGGAAAACAAGCUCCUCAUUCUUCAUGCUAUCCCCUGCAGAGAGGGGGAUAACAAGAAUCCAGCUGCUUCUCUGAGGUCACAAGCAGAACUGCAGCUGAUGUGGCAGAGGUUUGUAAGGAAAUGAAAAGGAGAAGAAGAGCAGCUAAGAGUUUUAAAGUUUGACCCAGCCCCCUUUUGGAGAUGAAUGUAGCACGGCGUGCAGCAAGGAGCUUGAGAGGGAGUUUGGCUUUCUGACUCUCAUAUGCACAUCUAAGCUCUUUUCAGUCUCUGUCAGCCUGGCAGUCAGUGCAUACAGCAGGUGCUGUGUUUAGUAUUAGUUAUGAGAUUCCAGCUCCCCAGUGCAGUGAAGCAUGCAGUGUCUGAUAUUCAAGACUGAAAUAAAACGGGGGUUGCCUUUGAAGCAGAA
Oncorhynchus kisutch (coho salmon) is the source of this 508-nucleotide long non-coding RNA. RefSeq lists it as uncharacterized. The transcript has 2 exons. The record is from RefSeq and is a predicted model, not a curated record. NCBI's taxonomy places the organism in Eukaryota, Metazoa, Chordata, Actinopteri, Salmoniformes, Salmonidae.